UUAAAUUGAAGAGUUUGAUCAUGGCUCAGAUUGAACGCUGGCGGCAGGCCUAACACAUGCAAGUCGAACGGUAACAGGAAGCAGCUUGCUGCUUCGCUGACGAGUGGCGGACGGGUGAGUAAUGUCUGGGAAACUGCCUGAUGGAGGGGGAUAACUACUGGAAACGGUAGCUAA
This 174-nucleotide ribosomal RNA is filed under the name Escherichia coli O111:H8 str. F6627. RNAcentral describes it as "partial 16S ribosomal RNA". It matches the Rfam family "Bacterial small subunit ribosomal RNA", at positions 1 to 166 of the family's 1533-position model. The record is from RNAcentral. Lineage: Bacteria; Pseudomonadati; Pseudomonadota; Gammaproteobacteria; Enterobacterales; Enterobacteriaceae.